RNAcentral lists this ribosomal RNA (469 nucleotides) under uncultured bacterium. Its description in RNAcentral is "bacterial SSU rRNA". It matches the Rfam family "Bacterial small subunit ribosomal RNA", at positions 29 to 518 of the family's 1533-position model. The record is from RNAcentral.
AACGAACGCUGGCGGCAGGCUUAACACAUGCAAGUCGAGCGAAGACUUCGGUCUUAGCGGCGGACGGGUGAGUAACGCGUGGGAACAUACCCUUUGCUACGGAACAGUCCCGGGAAACUGGGUUUAAUACCGUAUACGCCCUUCGGGGGAAAGAUUUAUCGGCAAAGGAUUGGCCCGCGUUGGAUUAGGUAGUUGGUGGGGUAAAGGCCUACCAAGCCGACGAUCCAUAGCUGGUUUGAGAGGAUGAUCAGCCACACUGGGACUGAGACACGGCCCAGACUCCUACGGGAGGCAGCAGUGGGGAAUCUUAGACAAUGGGGGCAACCCUGAUCUAGCCAUGCCGCGUGAGUGAUGAAGGCCCUAGGGUUGUAAAGCCCUUUCAGUUGGGACGAAGCUACGACGGUUAAUAGCCGUCUGGGGUGACGGUACCUUCACAAGAAGCCCCGGCUAACUACGUGCCAGCCGCCGC